This 481-nucleotide ribosomal RNA is filed under the name uncultured bacterium. Its description in RNAcentral is "partial 16S ribosomal RNA". It matches the Rfam family "Bacterial small subunit ribosomal RNA", at positions 30 to 506 of the family's 1533-position model. The record is from RNAcentral.
AUUGAACGCUGGCGGCAUGCCUUACACAUGCAAGUCGAACGGUAACGGGCCUUCGGGUGCCGACGAGUGGCGAACGGGUGAGUAAUACUUCGGAACGUGCCCGAUCGUGGGGGAUAACGAGGCGAAAGCUUUGCUAAUACCGCAUACGAUCUACGGAUGAAAGCAGGGGACCGCAAGGCCUUGCGCGGACGGAGCGGCCGAUGGCAGAUUAGGUAGUUGGUGGGAUAAAAGCUUACCAAGCCGACGAUCUGUAGCUGGUCUGAGAGGAUGAUCAGCCACACUGGGACUGAGACACGGCCCAGACUCCUACGGGAGGCAGCAGUGGGGAAUUUUGGACAAUGGGCGCAAGCCUGAUCCAGCCAUGCCGCGUGCAGGAUGAAGGCCUUCGGGUUGUAAACUGCUUUUGUACGGAACGAAAAGCCUUCUUUUAAUACAGGAGGGUCAUGACGGUACCGUAAGAAUAAACACCGGCUAACUACGU